CCCAAGAGAUCGGGAUAACACCUGGAAACAGAUGCUAAUACCGGAUAACAACAGAUGAUGCCUAUCAACUGUUUAAAAGAUGGUUCUGCUAUCACUCUUGGAUGGACCUGCGGUGCAUUAGCUAGUUGGUAGGGUAACGGCCUACCAAGGCGAUGAUGCAUAGCCGAGUUGAGAGACUGAUCGGCCACAUUGGGACUGAGACACGGCCCAAACUCCUACGGGAGGCAGCAGAA
This 233-nucleotide ribosomal RNA is filed under the name uncultured Lactobacillus sp. RNAcentral describes it as "partial 16S ribosomal RNA". It matches the Rfam family "Bacterial small subunit ribosomal RNA", at positions 129 to 354 of the family's 1533-position model. Lineage: Bacteria; Bacillati; Bacillota; Bacilli; Lactobacillales; Lactobacillaceae. The record is from RNAcentral.